AGAAGCGAGGCAGCCGUGAGGCGGAGGACAGGCUGGGGGAUCCCAAAGGGUGCGCUCCAGCCCCCAACCCAGGCACUGGGACUCUGGUGGCACCCUGGGUGGCAGGCAAGCCUUGAAAUCAAGUGCACGAGCCUUGGAAAGGAGGACCGGGAGAGUUAUGGCAUUUAUGAAUGAAGAAGAGAAAGAGAAUCACUCGGAUGGGAAAAGUUAACUGGAUUGUUCCCACCUGCAUGGAUCACCGGGAUGAAGCUGUGCCACCCUGUAGGAAUUAGAAGACCAUGUCCAGGAAUUGAGCACUGGGUGCAGGAUCCAGUCUUCUGAGGCCCUGAAACCACAUGGUGAGAAGUUGAAGGUCACACAGCUGAAGCAACUUAGCCGUCUCGCCUUGCGGCCUGGAACCCCUGGCAAUUUCCGGAGCACCGGCAAGAGACUUUUGCACAGUUUCUGCUUGGAGUCUACCGACUGUCUGUCUCAGAGGUCUGGACAGCUGCUUGUUACAUUUGGCUCACGCUAGCUUAAAAAAGGAAUUUAUGGACCUUACUGCAGAACGUCCCAAUUCUUCAGGC
Long non-coding RNA from Homo sapiens (human), 566 nucleotides. Ensembl annotates it as APCDD1L divergent transcript. Its record names the gene APCDD1L-DT. NCBI's taxonomy places the organism in Eukaryota, Metazoa, Chordata, Mammalia, Primates, Hominidae. The record is from Ensembl.